Molecule: ribosomal RNA, 2925 nt
Filed under: Escherichia coli
Lineage: Bacteria; Pseudomonadati; Pseudomonadota; Gammaproteobacteria; Enterobacterales; Enterobacteriaceae
Description: 23S ribosomal RNA
Rfam family: Bacterial large subunit ribosomal RNA
Source: RNAcentral
GGGUUGUGAGGUUAAGCGACUAAGCGUACACGGUGGAUGCCCUGGCAGUCAGAGGCGAUGAAGGACGUGCUAAUCUGCGAUAAGCGUCGGUAAGGUGAUAUGAACCGUUAUAACCGGCGAUUUCCGAAUGGGGAAACCCAGUGUGAUUCGUCACACUAUCAUUAACUGAAUCCAUAGGUUAAUGAGGCGAACCGGGGGAACUGAAACAUCUAAGUACCCCGAGGAAAAGAAAUCAACCGAGAUUCCCCCAGUAGCGGCGAGCGAACGGGGAGCAGCCCAGAGCCUGAAUCAGUGUGUGUGUUAGUGGAAGCGUCUGGAAAGGCGCGCGAUACAGGGUGACAGCCCCGUACACAAAAAUGCACAUACUGUGAGCUCGAUGAGUAGGGCGGGACACGUGGUAUCCUGUCUGAAUAUGGGGGGACCAUCCUCCAAGGCUAAAUACUCCUGACUGACCGAUAGUGAACCAGUACCGUGAGGGAAAGGCGAAAAGAACCCCGGCGAGGGGAGUGAAAAAGAACCUGAAACCGUGUACGUACAAGCAGUGGGAGCCUCUUUAUGGGGUGACUGCGUACCUUUUGUAUAAUGGGUCAGCGACUUAUAUUCUGUAGCAAGGUUAACCGAAUAGGGGAGCCGAAGGGAAACCGAGUCUUAACUGGGCGUUAAGUUGCAGGGUAUAGACCCGAAACCCGGUGAUCUAGCCAUGGGCAGGUUGAAGGUUGGGUAACACUAACUGGAGGACCGAACCGACUAAUGUUGAAAAAUUAGCGGAUGACUUGUGGCUGGGGGUGAAAGGCCAAUCAAACCGGGAGAUAGCUGGUUCUCCCCGAAAGCUAUUUAGGUAGCGCCUCGUGAAUUCAUCUCCGGGGGUAGAGCACUGUUUCGGCAAGGGGGUCAUCCCGACUUACCAACCCGAUGCAAACUGCGAAUACCGGAGAAUGUUAUCACGGGAGACACACGGCGGGUGCUAACGUCCGUCGUGAAGAGGGAAACAACCCAGACCGCCAGCUAAGGUCCCAAAGUCAUGGUUAAGUGGGAAACGAUGUGGGAAGGCCCAGACAGCCAGGAUGUUGGCUUAGAAGCAGCCAUCAUUUAAAGAAAGCGUAAUAGCUCACUGGUCGAGUCGGCCUGCGCGGAAGAUGUAACGGGGCUAAACCAUGCACCGAAGCUGCGGCAGCGACACUAUGUGUUGUUGGGUAGGGGAGCGUUCUGUAAGCCUGUGAAGGUGUGCUGUGAGGUAUGCUGGAGGUAUCAGAAGUGCGAAUGCUGACAUAAGUAACGAUAAAGCGGGUGAAAAGCCCGCUCGCCGGAAGACCAAGGGUUCCUGUCCAACGUUAAUCGGGGCAGGGUGAGUCGACCCCUAAGGCGAGGCCGAAAGGCGUAGUCGAUGGGAAACAGGUUAAUAUUCCUGUACUUGGUGUUACUGCGAAGGGGGGACGGAGAAGGCUAUGUUGGCCGGGCGACGGUUGUCCCGGUUUAAGCGUGUAGGCUGGUUUUCCAGGCAAAUCCGGAAAAUCAAGGCUGAGGCGUGAUGACGAGGCACUACGGUGCUGAAGUAACAAAUGCCCUGCUUCCAGGAAAAGCCUCUAAGCAUCAGGUAACAUCAAAUCGUACCCCAAACCGACACAGGUGGUCAGGUAGAGAAUACCAAGGCGCUUGAGAGAACUCGGGUGAAGGAACUAGGCAAAAUGGUGCCGUAACUUCGGGAGAAGGCACGCUGAUAUGUAGGUGAAGUCCCUUGCGGAUGGAGCUGAAAUCAGUCGAAGAUACCAGCUGGCUGCAACUGUUUAUUAAAAACACAGCACUGUGCAAACACGAAAGUGGACGUAUACGGUGUGACGCCUGCCCGGUGCCGGAAGGUUAAUUGAUGGGGUUAGCGGUAACGCGAAGCUCUUGAUCGAAGCCCCGGUAAACGGCGGCCGUAACUAUAACGGUCCUAAGGUAGCGAAAUUCCUUGUCGGGUAAGUUCCGACCUGCACGAAUGGCGUAAUGAUGGCCAGGCUGUCUCCACCCGAGACUCAGUGAAAUUGAACUCGCUGUGAAGAUGCAGUGUACCCGCGGCAAGACGGAAAGACCCCGUGAACCUUUACUAUAGCUUGACACUGAACAUUGAGCCUUGAUGUGUAGGAUAGGUGGGAGGCUUUGAAGUGUGGACGCCAGUCUGCAUGGAGCCGACCUUGAAAUACCACCCUUUAAUGUUUGAUGUUCUAACGUUGGCCCCUGAUCGGGGUUGCGGACAGUGUCUGGUGGGUAGUUUGACUGGGGCGGUCUCCUCCUAAAGAGUAACGGAGGAGCACGAAGGUUGGCUAAUCCUGGUCGGACAUCAGGAGGUUAGUGCAAUGGCAUAAGCCAGCUUGACUGCGAGCGUGACGGCGCGAGCAGGUGCGAAAGCAGGUCAUAGUGAUCCGGUGGUUCUGAAUGGAAGGGCCAUCGCUCAACGGAUAAAAGGUACUCCGGGGAUAACAGGCUGAUACCGCCCAAGAGUUCAUAUCGACGGCGGUGUUUGGCACCUCGAUGUCGGCUCAUCACAUCCUGGGGCUGAAGUAGGUCCCAAGGGUAUGGCUGUUCGCCAUUUAAAGUGGUACGCGAGCUGGGUUUAGAACGUCGUGAGACAGUUCGGUCCCUAUCUGCCGUGGGCGCUGGAGAACUGAGGGGGGCUGCUCCUAGUACGAGAGGACCGGAGUGGACGCAUCACUGGUGUUCGGGUUGUCAUGCCAAUGGCACUGCCCGGUAGCUAAAUGCGGAAGAGAUAAGUGCUGAAAGCAUCUAAGCACGAAACUUGCCCCGAGAUGAGUUCUCCCUGACCCUUUAAGGGUCCUGAAGGAACGUUGAAGACGACGACGUUGAUAGGCCGGGUGUGUAAGCGCAGCGAUGCGUUGAGCUAACCGGUACUAAUGAACCGUGAGGCUUAACCUUACAACGCCGAAG